GACGAACGCUGGCGGCGUGCCUAAUACAUGCAAGUCGAGCGAAUGACGAGAAGCUUGCUUCUCUGAUUUAGCGGCGGACGGGUGAGUAACACGUGGGCAACCUGCCCUACAGAUCGGGAUAACUCAGGGAAACCUGGGCUAAUACCGGAUAAUCCUUCGAAUCACAUGUUUUGAAGUUGAAAGGCGCUUCGGCGUCACUGUAGGAUGGGCCCGCGGUGCAUUAGCUAGUUGGUGGGGUAACGGCCUACCAAGGCAACGAUGCAUAGCCGACCUGAGAGGGUGAUCGGCCACGUUGGGACUGAGACACGGCCCAAACGCCUACGGGAGGCAGCAGUAGGGAAUCUUCCACAAUGGACGAAAGUCUGAUGGAGCAAAGCCGCGUGAGUGAAGAAGGUCUUCGGAUCGUAAAGCUCUGUUUAAAGGGACGAAUGGUUAGUAUGUGAAUAAUGUAUUGACAUGACGGUACCUUUGGAGGAAGCCACGGCUAACUACGUGCCAGCCGCCGCAGUAA
RNAcentral lists this ribosomal RNA (511 nucleotides) under uncultured bacterium. RNAcentral's name for it is "partial 16S ribosomal RNA". It matches the Rfam family "Bacterial small subunit ribosomal RNA", at positions 28 to 523 of the family's 1533-position model. The record is from RNAcentral.